CGGCGAGGUGUCGGCGCCUGGAGAAGGGGCGCAGAAGUGGGGCCAGUGAACCCGGAGGUGUCCACGUAAUCGUGACCUUUUCACUCUCUUCAAUGAUGGCUUCCUCAGAAGCGCUCCUCUCCCUCUACUUGGCCAGAGAGGACCUUUCAGGAACAGGGAAAGCGAUACACUCCGCUCCCGGCCUCCUCUCGCUGCUCCUCCUGCUCUGCUCUGUGGCUGCCUGCCAAGCCUCACUUCCGGUCUCCUCCCUGCCGCGUGGAUUCCCCCUGCCUCCCACCUACCCAUGUUGUGUUCUCAGCUCGUCACAGGAAUUAACUCACUCGGGCCUCGCAAGAGCUACAUGAGGGAAUGCAUUAUCACUCUCAUUCCAUAAAUGUGAGACAACCAACGUGAUAAGCCAAAAAGUGCCAGGAGUAGCAUUCACAAGUAACCUGGCAGAAUGUGGAAGUUGGUCCUUGAAGACUAUAAGAGUCUGCCUUGAACUGCAUGAGCUGAGCUUUUAAGAUCUGGAACAAGAGUCUGCACCUGAAGUAGCAAAUUUGAUGAACUGAUUGUGGGUGAUCAUCUUCCAACAGCAAGAGGUUAUGGAGGAGAUCGCAUCUGCAGAAGAGGAGGAGAAAAAGGUUCAUAAACAGUUCUGACUUCUUUGAUGAACAUGGCUAGAAAAUCCACUUUUGAGUAAAACUACUCAAGAAGACAACCUUGCUCAUGGUUUAGUGAGCAGCUCUCCUCCACCACACCCUUCUGCCUUGAUGUUUCUGCUUGGAGCCAGCUGACCAUGGACCAAAACCGCUGAAAUCCAUGGAGAUUUGAGAGGUAGAGAAGUAAUUGCUCCUGUCAUCAGAAGAUCAAGCUGUAGCCCAUUAAGGAAUUAUUGCCAGCUCUAGAGAUGAUUUGAAGCUAUCUGACAUGCACAUUACAGAGAGCAGCAGAAUGGUGGCAGUGAAGAGGAAAGAAGGUGGCCAAUGGAAAACAUGGGACAAAAAUAGACAGUAGGAGUGGUGAUUCUGGGUAGAGAGAAGAAACAGAGCCAG
Molecule: long non-coding RNA, 1034 nt
Organism: Heterocephalus glaber (naked mole-rat)
Lineage: Eukaryota; Metazoa; Chordata; Mammalia; Rodentia; Bathyergidae
Source: Ensembl